UACGUAGGGUGCGAGCGAUAAUCGGCCUUACUGGGCGUAAAGCGUGCGCAGGCGGUUUGGUAAGACAGAUGUGAAAUUACCGGGCUUAACCUGGGAACUGCAUUUGUGACUGCCAGGCUAGAGUGCGGUAGAGGGGAGUUGAAUUCCGCGUGUAGCAGUGAAAUGCGUAGAUAUGAGGAGGAACACCGUUGGCGAAGGCAACUCCCUGGGUCUGCACUGACGCUCAUGCACGAAAGCGUGUGAAGCAAAUAGG
Molecule: ribosomal RNA, 253 nt
Filed under: uncultured bacterium
Lineage: Bacteria
Description: partial 16S ribosomal RNA
Rfam family: Bacterial small subunit ribosomal RNA
Source: RNAcentral